RNAcentral lists this ribosomal RNA (497 nucleotides) under uncultured bacterium. RNAcentral describes it as "partial 16S ribosomal RNA". It matches the Rfam family "Bacterial small subunit ribosomal RNA", at positions 28 to 507 of the family's 1533-position model. The record is from RNAcentral.
GAUGAACGCUGGCGGCGUGCCUAAUACAUGCAAGUCGAGCGAACAGACGAGGAGCUUGCUCCUCUGACGUUAGCGGCGGACGGGUGAGUAACACGUGGAUAACCUACCUAUAAGACUGGGAUAACUUCGGGAAACCGGAGCUAAUACCGGAUAAUAUAUUGAACCGCAUGGUUCAAUAGUGAAAGACGGUUUUGCUUUCACUUAUAGAUGGAUCCGCGCCGCAUUAGCUAGUUGGUAAGGUAACGGCUUACCAAGGCAACGAUGCGUAGCCGACCUGAGAGGGUGAUCGGCCACACUGGAACUGAGACACGGUCCAGACUCCUACGGGAGGCAGCAGUAGGGAAUCUUCCGCAAGGGGCGAAAGCUUGACGGAGCAACGCCGCGUGAGUGAUGAAGGUCUUCGGAUCGUAAAACUCUGUUAUUAGGGAAGAACAAAUGUGUAAGUAACUAUGCACGUCUUGACGGUACCUAAUCAGAAAGCCACGGCUAACUACGUG